This 284-nucleotide ribosomal RNA is filed under the name Austropotamobius pallipes (white-clawed crayfish). RNAcentral describes it as "partial 12S ribosomal RNA". The record is from RNAcentral. Lineage: Eukaryota; Metazoa; Arthropoda; Malacostraca; Decapoda; Astacidae.
AAUUAAAAGUUAUAUUCUUUAAAUUUAAAGGAUUUGGCGGUAUUUUAGUCUAGUUAGAGGAAUCUGUCUCUUAAACGAUAGUACACGCAUUAUCUUGCUUAUUUUAGUGAAUCAGUUUGUAUACCGUCAUUAUAAGAUAAUUUAAGAGAGAAUAUUAUUGAGAUUAUAUUAUAUGAAUAUAUUAGAUCAAGGUGCAGCUAAUAAAUAAGAAAAGAUGGAUUACAAUAAAACUUAUUUAUACGGAUUUAAUAUUUAAACAUGUUAAUGAAGGAGGAUUUAAUUGU